Molecule: ribosomal RNA, 319 nt
Filed under: uncultured eukaryote
Lineage: Eukaryota
Description: partial 18S ribosomal RNA
Rfam family: Eukaryotic small subunit ribosomal RNA
Source: RNAcentral
CCCUUAGAUGUUCUGGGCUGCACGCGUGCUACAAUGAAGCGUCCAACAAGAUGCGAAGCCGAAAGGCUCAGCGGAUCUUUGAAGUCGUUUCGUGACCGGGACAGUUGAUUGCAAUUAUUCGACUCGAACGAGGAAUUCCUUGUAAUCGCGAUUCAUCAUAUCGCGCUGAUUACGUCCCUGCCCUUUGUACACACCGCCCGUCGCUCCUACCGAUUGAGCGAUCCGGUGAAUUAUUUGGAGUGUCCACGCAAGCCAAUCCGUUUACGUGGGUGCGAAAUUUUGUAAACCUUAUCGCUUAGAGGAAGGAAAAGUCGUAACA